Non-coding RNA from Picea glauca (white spruce), 463 nucleotides. NCBI's taxonomy places the organism in Eukaryota, Viridiplantae, Streptophyta, Pinopsida, Pinales, Pinaceae. The record is from Rfam.
GUCGAGUUUGCUUCCACCUCCGAUUUUAUUGAUUUGAUGGUGAUGCUCCUGCAUCAGGGAGCCUGAGAAAUGGAUACCACAUCCAAGGAAGGAAGCAUGCAUCCAAAUUACCCAAUCCUGGCAUGGAGAGGUAGUGACAAUAAAUAAAAAUAUUGGGAUCAUCGAUAUUGGUAAUUGGAAUGAGUACAAUCUAAAUCCAUUACCGAGGAUUUAUUGGAGGGAAAUUAUGUUGCUAAAAGUCGUGGUAAUUGCAGAUCCAAUAGCGUAUAUUUAAGUUGUUGUAGUUAAAAAUAUUGUAGUUGGAUCUUGGGUUGUAAAUGUCAGUUUUCCUACUCGGUGUGCACUUUCCCUUCCAUCUCUUUUGUCGGUAGCGUGCUCCUAGAAUUAAUUAGUUGGGUCCUGGUUGCAAUGUUGUUACUUUGAAAAAUUUAGACUACUCAAAGAAAGAUUAUGCUUUGAUAAC